UACGUAGGGGGCGAGCGUUGUCCGGAAUCACUGGGCGUAAAGGGCGCGUAGGCGGCUUGAUAAGCGUGCGGUGAAAGCCCGGGGCUCAACCCCGGGUCGGCCGUGCGAACUGUCGAGCUGGAGCACUGUAGAGGCAGGUGGAAUUCCUGGUGUAGCGGUGAAAUGCGCAGAUAUCAGGAGGAACACCGGUGGCGAAGGCGGGUCUCUGGGCCGAUACUGACGCUGAGGAGCGAAAGCGUGGGGAGCGAACAGG
This 253-nucleotide ribosomal RNA is filed under the name uncultured bacterium. Its description in RNAcentral is "partial 16S ribosomal RNA". It matches the Rfam family "Bacterial small subunit ribosomal RNA", at positions 524 to 776 of the family's 1533-position model. The record is from RNAcentral.